Molecule: ribosomal RNA, 708 nt
Filed under: Ingaderia pulcherrima
Lineage: Eukaryota; Fungi; Ascomycota; Arthoniomycetes; Arthoniales; Opegraphaceae
Description: SSU rRNA
Rfam family: Eukaryotic small subunit ribosomal RNA
Source: RNAcentral
GUUAUCGUCUAUUUGAUAGUACCUUACUACUUGGAUAACCGUGGUAAUUCUAGAGCUAAUACAUGCCAAAAACCUCGACUUCGGAAGGGGUGUAUUUAUUAGAUAAAAAGCCAACGCNNUUCGGGGCUCCGUGGUGAUUCAUGAUAACUCAACGAACCGCAUGGCCUUGCGCCGGCGGUGGUUCAUUCGAAUUUCUGCCCUAUCAACUUUCGAUGGUAGGAUAGUGGCCUACCAUGGUUUCAACGGGUAACGGGGAAUUAGGGUUCGAUUCCGGAGAGGGAGCCUGAGAAACGGCUACCACAUCCAAGGAAGGCAGCAGGCGCGCAAAUUACCCAAUACCGACACGGUGAGGUAGUGACAAUAAAUACUGAUACAGGGCUCUUUUGGGUCUUGUAAUUGGAAUGAGNNCAAUUUAAAUACCUUAACGAGGAACAAUUGGAGGGCAAGUCUGGUGCCAGCAGCCGCGGUAAUUCCAGCUCCAAUAGCGUAUAUUAAAGUUGUUGCAGUUAAAAAGCUCGUAGUUGAACCUUGGCCCUGGCUGGCCGGUCCGCCUCACCGCGUGCACUGGUGCGGCCGGGGCUUUCCUCCUGGGGAUCCGCAUGGCCUUCACUGGCCGUGUCCGGGGAACCAGGACUUUUACUUUGAAAAAAUUAGAGUGUUCAAAGCAGGCAUUCGCUCGAAUACAUUAGCAUGGAAUAAUGGAAUAGG